Long non-coding RNA from Alnus glutinosa, 1419 nucleotides. RefSeq lists it as uncharacterized. NCBI's taxonomy places the organism in Eukaryota, Viridiplantae, Streptophyta, Magnoliopsida, Fagales, Betulaceae. The record is from RefSeq and is a predicted model, not a curated record. The transcript has 3 exons.
CAGAGAUGAGAGAUUGAGAGAGAUCAAAGAGAAGAGAGAUCGAAGAGAGAGUUUCAGAGGGAGAGAUUGAGAGUGAGAUCGGGAGAGUUGAGGGAGAUGGAGCCCGAUCCUCCGGUGGGUGAUGCCGACGAGACCAAAGAACGCCGACAACGCGAUCUCCGGUGAGCCAACGACCCGUAGACCCGAUGCAACCGCCGAUCCAUGAGACUCGAAAGAGAGAACCCUAGCAACCCGAACCCGUGACCCGCUGAACCCGAGAAGAGACCCGGUUCUCCAUGUGUGUUUUCCGGCGACUUUUCCAACGAAAACAGUGACAAUUUCUGGUGGAUUCUUGAGUAAAAUCCCCAAGGCUUGUGUCGUGAUUGGAGACGUAGACCUGUUCUCUAAUGUAGAGUUCAAGUAAUGAGAACAUGGGGAGUAUUCGAGUCAAGAGUCCAAUGCAGCCAAGUGUACUGCUGAAACAAGGAUGCCAUAUUUAUCCAGAGUUUUCCAGAAUAUUCAAAGUUUAAUUCUCAACUAUGGAAAGGCCUUAAUAUGACAAGUAUCAGUGUCACAAGCAUCAAGAAGGCAAUUUCUAGACUCCAAGAAGAUUUUACGUAGUUUACAACUCAGCAAAAAUCGGAUCCCCAGUUGAUCAUCCAGACAGCCCAGUGAAGCAUCCGGACGCUCCUCAGUAUUUGAGAAGAUUCUGAACAGCUCAGCAGACAUGUCGGUGAAGACAGGGUGAAGACAGCAAGCAACCAUCUAGACUCUAGGCAACACCGUCUGGACGCUAUUCAAAGUUUGAGAAGAUUCUGAACAGCUUAACACACACUUGGUGAAGACAACUUGCUACCGUUCGGACGCUAGGGCGACAUCGUCCAGACGCCGAGACUGAAGCUUAGUAAGGAAACGCGUGAAGCGCGUUAUGGAAGUCAGUUGCUACUUGCUGUCUAGACACCCUCAGUAUAGGUCUGGAAGCCACCCAAAGAACUCCGAAUCAAUGUUUUAUUAGAUCUUCAAAAGCUUAAAAAUAGAGGUCUCUAGGCUUGUAUUAUUUAUAGAAUUCAGUAAUGAAUUCCUUUAUACUAAGAGAGGGUGUUUAGGCAGAGAUUAUGAUAUGUGCUAGCUCUCUUAGGGUGAUUCAUGUGUGAUUUGAUCAGCUUUGAAGUCUAGCUUGGGGAGGAGCCCUAAGCUAAAGGAUUCCAUUGAAGACCCCUUCAGGUAGGAGACCUGGGUGGGAGGUAUUCACGUUGGGUUACGUGUCAGAGUUCAAGAUACAACCACAGCAUCAAGGGUAUGUGAGUGUUACUGCUUUGUAACUAGCUUUGUCUUCUGAAUAGUGGAUAUACUGGGUUGGGCCGCCCGGGAGUGGUUUAUCUCUUAAUUGAGUUUCCACUUCGUUAACAAAAUAUAUGUCUUCUUUAAAUUCUGCAUUUA